RNAcentral lists this ribosomal RNA (466 nucleotides) under Vreelandella stevensii. RNAcentral describes it as "partial 16S ribosomal RNA". It matches the Rfam family "Bacterial small subunit ribosomal RNA", at positions 338 to 795 of the family's 1533-position model. Lineage: Bacteria; Pseudomonadati; Pseudomonadota; Gammaproteobacteria; Oceanospirillales; Halomonadaceae. The record is from RNAcentral.
CCUACGUGUGUGCUGCAGUGGGGAAUAUUGGACAAUGGGCGAAAGCCUGAUCCAGCCAUGCCGCGUGUGUGAAGAAGGCCUUCGGGUUGUAAAGCACUUUCAGUGGGGAAGAAAGCCUUGGGGCUAAUACCCUCGAGGAAGGACAUCACCCACAGAAGAAGCACCGGCUAACUCCGUGCCAGCAGCCGCGGUAAUACGGAGGGUGCGAGCGUUAAUCGGAAUUACUGGGCGUAAAGCGCGCGUAGGCGGUCUGAUAAGCCGGUUGUGAAAGCCCCGGGCUCAACCUGGGAACGGCAUCCGGAACUGUCAGGCUAGAGUGCAGGAGAGGAAGGUAGAAUUCCCGGUGUAGCGGUGAAAUGCGUAGAGAUCGGGAGGAAUACCAGUGGCGAAGGCGGCCUUCUGGACUGACACUGACGCUGAGGUGCGAAAGCGUGGGUAGCAAACAGGAUUAGAUACCCGAGUAGUC